AACGAACGCUGGCGGCAUGCCUAACACAUGCAAGUCGAACGAGACCUUCGGGUCUAGUGGCGCACGGGUGCGUAACGCGUGGGAACCUGCCCUUAGGUUCGGAAUAACUCCCCGAAAGGGGUGCUAAUACCGGUUAAUGUCUUCGGACCAAAGAUUUAUCGCCUUUGGAUGGGCCCGCGUUGGAUUAGCUAGUUGGUAGGGUAAAAGCCUACCAAGGCGACGAUCCAUAGCUGGUCUGAGAGGAUGAUCAGCCACACUGGGACUGAGACACGGCCCAGACUGCUACGGGAGGCAGCAGUGGGGAAUAUUGGACAAUGGGCGAAAGCCUGAUCCAGCAAUGCCGCGUGAGUGAUGAAGGCCUUAGGGUUGUAAAGCUCUUUUACCCGGGAUGAUAAUGACAGUACCGGGAGAAUAAGCUCCGGCUAACUCCGUG
Molecule: ribosomal RNA, 433 nt
Filed under: uncultured bacterium
Lineage: Bacteria
Description: partial 16S ribosomal RNA
Rfam family: Bacterial small subunit ribosomal RNA
Source: RNAcentral